UCAACAUUGAUGACAAAAUUUUCUCUUGAAGCUCCCCAAAAAUCGCCCAAGCCAUAAGCUAUGGGAGAAAUGCACUAAAUCCCACGAUUUAAAACAAGGUUCUGCCUCCAGCGCUUUCCACUUUUGCGGUCCAGGAACUGCUUCUGCGGUCUAGUUUUUGCAUAAAUCUAGGCCCUUCUGCAAUCUCUCAAAUCACCCGACCAACCGCUUCUACGUUCUACCCAUCGCAGAAACGAUUUUGCUUCUGCGGAACAAAAUCUGCUUCUACGGCUUCUGGCCAAAUGUCCACUUUCCGC
Molecule: long non-coding RNA, 296 nt
Filed under: Nicotiana benthamiana
Lineage: Eukaryota; Viridiplantae; Streptophyta; Magnoliopsida; Solanales; Solanaceae
Description: long non-coding RNA (NBEN_LNC016618)
Source: RNAcentral